Molecule: long non-coding RNA, 478 nt
Filed under: Nicotiana tabacum (common tobacco)
Lineage: Eukaryota; Viridiplantae; Streptophyta; Magnoliopsida; Solanales; Solanaceae
Description: long non-coding RNA (NTAB_LNC013615)
Source: RNAcentral
AUUUGGUUUUUAAUUGGUUCAACAAAUGUUCAACAGAAGCUAGUUGAUUUACUAUGCUCAGACAGUUGAAACUAAUUGACGACGCAUGUCGACUCGACUAUAUUAGCAUUAACAUACACAAUCGUAGCCAAAAAUCAGACAUUCAGAAGUGUGGGACACAUGACUCGACUCAUACUGAUUAAAACAGGAAAAUUCAGUUUAGGGUUUAAAACCCUAAUGCUGACUAAAAGGAAAAUUCAGUUUAGGGUUUAAAACCCUAAUGCUGACUAAAGGAAAAAUUCAGUUUAGGGUUUAAAACCCUAAUGCUGAUUGCAUGAAAAAGCUCAGUUUAGAAUUUAAAACCCUAAUGCUGGUUGAAAGGAAAAAGUUCUGUUUAAGGUUUAAAACCCUAAUGUUGACUAAAAGGAAAAUUCAGUUUAGGGUUUAAAACCCUAAUGCUGAUUGCAUGAAAAAGCUCAGUUUAGAGUUUAAAACUCUA